AUUUUUAAUGGGUUCUGGGAGAUACUUCUUGCAGUGACCAGGGAUUUUGCUGGGUGAAUGGCAUCCUGUCAUUCUUUUUCCUUAUUUUUAUUCUGACAGUCUUGGAAAUUGUCUGUGCUCUUCCUACAUGAUGUGCCCUUGGAGAAGGGCAUUCAGCAUCCUGCAUCUGUCACAUAAAUACCAUCUUCCGUGUUGCAAAGCUGCUACUCCUUCCCUGCUGUUUCCUUAAUCAGCACCUAUGGCAAAGCAGCAGGUACCGAGCCACUGAUCAAACAUGGCACUUGCUGUGAAACCCAGCAUCUGCUUAAACAGCAGUUACGUCUGCUAAUGUCAAUGGUUUAAUACUGCUUUUUAGGCAGAAUUCCCUGCCACCGUUAUCAGUAGGUGUUUGUGCUCCAGAACCCAAAUCAGCACCUGGGAUAAUGUGGUGCUGGGUAUGGUACAGCAAGGGGUUCCUCCUGCCCUGCAAACUUUGCAGCUCAAGCCUGAGGGGGACCUCCCGUUCUGUGCUCAGGCUGCUGUGCCGUUGCCUCUUUCUAUGCCAGACACUUAACGGUUGAUUAUUAUUUUUUCUUUUUUUUUCUCCUCCAGUAUGACUGGGGGAGAUCAACUGAAUAAAGCCAUCUUUGCAGUAAAUAUCUUAUUUUCUUCUUUUUGCAAGCAGUUGUACUAUUGCCUCUUCUAAAUUUGGUAUGUAUGUUUUUCAGGGCAGGGGAUGCCAGUGAUUGUGACUAGGUUCUUGCAUGCUUUUAUGGGAAUGAUACUGGCUAGUUUCUGCAGGUCCUGCUAAAUCCAGGAGGGUACAGAGAGAUGGGACAGUGCCCACACCACAGAGAGGAAUCCUUGUGGAAAAUGAAGAGCAGGAGGGUGACAAGUCCCCCUUUCAUGCUUGCGGGAACAGUUUUGCAUCUUCUCGCUGGAUUGUUUGACAGAAUAUCAGAGCCUUGAACUUCAUUCCAAGAACUUGAGGAAAUCUCAUGUCUCCCUGCCAUUUUCCAGCCUCUCUCAUCUGAAAGAACAAACCCUAUCUCUCCCUGCCUGAUGCCGUCUGAAUUUCCUCCGGGAUUAUCUAAACAGUGCCACGUGACCCAU
Molecule: long non-coding RNA, 1092 nt
Filed under: Apteryx owenii (little spotted kiwi)
Lineage: Eukaryota; Metazoa; Chordata; Aves; Apterygiformes; Apterygidae
Description: lncRNA (ENSAOWG00000008295.1)
Source: RNAcentral